This is a long non-coding RNA of Mesocricetus auratus (golden hamster), 1149 nucleotides long. RefSeq lists it as uncharacterized. The transcript is spliced from 6 exons. The record is from RefSeq and is a predicted model, not a curated record. Lineage: Eukaryota; Metazoa; Chordata; Mammalia; Rodentia; Cricetidae.
GUGGAGGAAGAAAUGAGACUGUUGAGAAAGGACCGAUUAUUUGCCCAGGAAACCCCACUCCUUUCUCUGAAGCUCCGUGGAAGUUAAUGACAAUUCGUGACUAAAGUGUCCCAUCUCCCUUGCUCAGCACCUCCCAUCCUGCCUCUGGCUCUGGGCUUUGCUCAUUCCAGAGAGGUUAACACUGCCUUUGGAUCUUUCUGGUGUGGCUAUCCCCCUGCACACCUUCCAGGACCACAUGUUCUCUUACAGAGUUCUCGUAAGGAAAUAAAAGUCAACCCCCAGCUUUGACAGGUGAAGACUUCUGGAGGCUGGCUGUUGUAGGAGCCAGGAUGACACAGAGAUGUCCUUACAAACCAGGACCAGAACAGCUGAGGAGCUCCUGUUACCCAAGAAGGUGAUCAAACAGACUGAGAUGCCCUCUUCUGCUGCUGUCUUGAGCACCGUGUGUCAUCCGCUCAUCUCAAUCCCAUCUUAGCAGUUCACCCCCAGCAAGGAUGCUGCGCUCUCUCUGAUUUCAUCAGCAUUAAGUCCUUUGGUUCCUCAUAUCCUUCCCUGCCAUGUCUUAAAAUAGUCUACAGCACUCAAGUCAAGGAUCCCAUCAACCUCCCCAUCUCUAACGCUGCAUAAUCUUGCAAGAACACUGUCGCCUAUUCUCCUUAAGGAGCACAUGCAAUCAAAACGCUCUUAAAUGAGAACCUGGAGGUAGGGUUGUUCCGGCAGCCCCAGAGUCAGCCAAGCCCAGGAUCAUCUGAGUGCCUGCUAGAGAGAGGGAUGUUUGCUAUCUUGACUCUCUUGGGAAGGCCGAUUUCAUCUGCAACUGAGGGCAUCCUUUGCUUUGUGGAAUAAGGAAGCUGACAAAAUUUGUGAUACUCAUAACUCUCAGAAAAUGAUUUUUUCCCUACCUAUAUCCUUCACUGCCUAGCACCAGGGUGGCUUUCAGAACUGAACUGUGCUUUUGUGUGAAAUGCCACAUUUUACUGUGGCCAAGGGUGGAACCCAGAGCCUGGAGUAUGUGGGUAUUCGGCAGAAAAAAAAAUCAUCAAAAGAGGAAUCAUUUCCAUGCGGAGAAGAGGGAAAGGCACAAGACGAAACAACUUGAAAACAAGGCAAAUUUUAUUGCAUGUGGCAAAGAGUCACAUGGAACUUAAG